Molecule: long non-coding RNA, 242 nt
Filed under: Mytilus galloprovincialis (Mediterranean mussel)
Lineage: Eukaryota; Metazoa; Mollusca; Bivalvia; Mytilida; Mytilidae
Source: RNAcentral
GAAGUAAUGUCCUUAUCAAAAUAAUUUAAUUCUCACCACGUACUAAUUCUUCAGCUAUUUGAACGAAAAUAUCAAAAAUGUUGACAGAAAAUUUAAAGGUCAACUUUGUCUUACUGGAAGGGAGGGAGAGCUCCAGACGUACUUAUUAACAGACAAAGCAGGCUUAUGGCUUAUCGUCAGUUUGUGUGCUGGGUCAGGAAAGGUCAACCACUUGGCAAGAAACACAGAAUAAUCCUACCGGC